Molecule: long non-coding RNA, 862 nt
Filed under: Rattus norvegicus (Norway rat)
Lineage: Eukaryota; Metazoa; Chordata; Mammalia; Rodentia; Muridae
Description: long non-coding RNA NONRATT016851
Source: RNAcentral
CUAACACAGACACCCUCGGAAGAUCAUCUAGGAACUAAACGGAGGUGUUUGGGCAACGCGCCAUGGUUACUUAAACCUUGACUAGUUCUUUCAACCCAUUAGUGAUGUUUCAAGUAAAAAUGAAAUACUCGGGGAGCGUGAUGAGCUUUAGGAACACCUCUAGGUCCUUCAAAUGCAAACGUCAUCUCCAGUAUUCAGUCAGAAUCCAGCACCGCCUGGCUCUAGCCCCACCCUUCCAGUCUUCAAAGGUAACUGCCUCCUUCCAUAACUGCAACAGCCGCCUCAAAGCCCCAGCGCUAAAGGCUUCCUGGGACCCUCUAUUCUGUCUCGUAGCGGAAUCAAAAGGGCGACAGGGUUGCUACGGCUUAACGGGCAUUUGCGUACGUGUAAGCUCUUCCUAGUUGUGGCCAAAGCCAUGUGCCUGGCUGCACCCGGGAGUGAGACAGGCAUUCCUCCUUCGGGAAAGACGAGGGCCGGGAGGGUCUGCGCUUCAGACGCCCACGCUAUACACGUCUUCCCGUGCUCUGGGUUACAGAAACCAGCGCGCUGUGUCGCGCAAAAAUAAGUGAGAUCCGAUCAAGAGGGCAAGCUGAGGGGCGCAAGGAGAAACAUCAGCCCCGGAGAGGGCAGUGCGUGGGGCGGCGAACAGCUCUCGGGGACCAACAAAGGGCCGGUGCCAUCGGAAGUGAUGCGAAGGAAGGUUGCAGCGGAGACAAUUUGGACUUUGUACCGGGAAAAAACGCAGCCAAGAACAAAAAUGUGAAGCGCCAUAACAUUAGCCGCAAGACUUCAGACAACGCGAGAAUUGUGACUUGAGAUCGGCUUUUCCUCCCCCACCGCUGCAGCCCGCCCAUUCCUGUGA